CAAGCAGCAACGUUGGAGGAAACCCCAACCUGUCCCUAUUGGGGUCCCUGACCGUCAUCCGGUCUCUAAAUGACAGGGAUGACAUUCUUUCUUCGGCCAUGACAUUUUAUUUAGAAGGAAGAGUGGAUGCACCUCAGACAGUUGCGGGAGGUCAUGGAAGCAUUGGGAUUGCUGGAAGCACUUAAAAAGGACCCAGCGUUGAGGGUGAUGUUUGUUGGAGGUGCUCCUGCCCCACUGACAGCAAUCACGAUGACCAACCUUUUUAAGAUGGCAUACUCUGUGGCAGGAAGCUCGCUGGCGUUUGGAGGAAGAGAAAGCUGUUGGCCACUGGAGGGACUGGCUCAUUGAUAUUGAGGGUGGAGAUGCUGUCCUGUUUGUGGAGGAUGGACUUGAGCCAGUCAAUGUGACCCUUGAAGAUGUGCUGAUGUUUGCGAAUG
Molecule: long non-coding RNA, 437 nt
Organism: Micropterus salmoides (largemouth bass)
Lineage: Eukaryota; Metazoa; Chordata; Actinopteri; Centrarchiformes; Centrarchidae
Exons: 3
Source: RefSeq, a predicted model, not a curated record